This 491-nucleotide ribosomal RNA is filed under the name uncultured bacterium. RNAcentral's name for it is "bacterial SSU rRNA". It matches the Rfam family "Bacterial small subunit ribosomal RNA", at positions 57 to 539 of the family's 1533-position model. The record is from RNAcentral.
GCAGUCGAGCGGCAGCACAGAGAACUUGUUUCUCGGGUGGCGAGCGGCGGACUGGUGAGUAAUGCCUGGGAAAUUGCCCUGAUGUGGGGGAUUUUCAUUGGAAACGAUGGCUAAUACCGCAUGAUGCCUACGGGCCAAAGAGGGGGACCUUCGGGCCUCUCGCGUCUGGAUAUGCCCAGGUGGGAUUAGCUAGUUGGUGAGGUAAGGGCUCACCAAGGCGACGAUCCCUAGCUGGUCUGAGAGGAUGAUCAGCCACACUGGAACUGAGACACGGUCCAGACUCCUACGGGAGGCAGCAGUGGGGAAUAUUGCACAAUGGGCGCAAGCCUGAUGCAGCCAUGCCGCGUGUGUGAAGAAGGCCUUCGGGUUGUAAAGCACUUUCAGUAGGGAGGAAGGUGGUAGUGUGAAUAGCGCUAUCAUUUGACGUUACCUACAGAAGAAGCACCGGCUAACUCCGUGCCAGCAGCCGCGGUAAUACGGAGGGUGCGAGC